This 965-nucleotide long non-coding RNA is filed under the name Helianthus annuus (common sunflower). Lineage: Eukaryota; Viridiplantae; Streptophyta; Magnoliopsida; Asterales; Asteraceae. The record is from RNAcentral.
AUGCUGAAGUCUAGUCUGCUCCCCAAAAUCACUAGAACUAUAAACUUCUCUCCCCCAUCAUUGAUCGAAUCAUCCUCCGCUCAACCAUCACCGAUGGAAUCAUCCUCCGCUCCACCUCACUGUCAACGACGUCCCCUGAAUCACAUGGCAACGAUUUCACACCGUCCGUUCGCACCACCACUCCGUCACCGGAACACUCGCAGUCAUCACCGGCCACUCGUUUCAAGCCCUUAGAUAUAUCAAAAGUUUGACUUAAGGAAGAGCUGGCUAGCUGGGGGAAUUUUAGAGGCGAGGAAUCCUACAUGCUAAUUUUCCAACAAAUGGUAAGUGGUGAAAAUGUUGGAAGUCGACACAAGCUAAUGAUAUCAUGACUAUGGAAGUCUGUAACAGAUGUACAAGAUCCAUUGUGAAGCGACCGUUUUUCAUUUUUCAUCUACUGGUAUGGUUUAGUUUCAAUGUCAAAAGAAUCCUUGUAAGUUGUUGGUUUGUUUGACCUCAAAAUUCAAACUUGAUCAUUUUUCAUCUACUGGUGUGGUUUAGUUUAUUUUUGAACAACCAAAUGCAACUCUUGGAUCAUGUAUGCAGCUGGUCAAUAACUUAUUAAGACCUGCUAUCAACAACCAACAGAUUCUCUCCGAGUCUAUUUCAUUACUGGUAAGAAUCUUUCUUGAUUCUUACUGAUAUAGACAAAAAAGGGUGCGAUUAGUCUUGAGAAAUUGAGUCAGAUUGAAAAGUUGAACUUAGUUAUCAAGGAGCUCGUUAAGGAAAAAGACGAAGAAAAAGAAAGGUUCAAUGGAAUUAUUGCGGGGUUGUUGGCUGAUAAAGAAAAAGAUAAGGUGGAUAAAGAUGCUAUGCUUGAUAGGAUGUCACAAAUUGAAGCUAUGUUAACAGCUACAGUUCGAAGAUAGGCUAUAAACACUUGAUUUUGAAUGUUUAGAUGUUUAUCUUAUUAGGAUAAUUUUAGU